Molecule: transfer RNA, 77 nt
Filed under: uncultured archaeon
Lineage: Archaea
Description: tRNA-Arg(gcg)
Rfam family: tRNA
About the family: Transfer RNA (tRNA) molecules are approximately 80 nucleotides in length. Their secondary structure includes four short double-helical elements and three loops (D, anti-codon, and T loops). Further hydrogen bonds mediate the characteristic L-shaped molecular structure. tRNAs have two regions of fundamental functional importance: the anti-codon, which is responsible for specific mRNA codon recognition, and the 3' end, to which the tRNAs corresponding amino acid is attached (by aminoacyl-tRNA synthetases). tRNAs cope with the degeneracy of the genetic code in two manners: having more than one tRNA (with a specific anti-codon) for a particular amino acid; and 'wobble' base-pairing, i.e. permitting non-standard base-pairing at the 3rd anti-codon position.
Source: RNAcentral
GGACUGUUCGUUCAACUGGAUAGGACAUAGCCCUGCGAAGGCUAUAAUGGUUGGUUCAAAUCCACCACGGUCUACCA